This 496-nucleotide ribosomal RNA is filed under the name uncultured bacterium. RNAcentral describes it as "partial 16S ribosomal RNA". It matches the Rfam family "Bacterial small subunit ribosomal RNA", at positions 29 to 507 of the family's 1533-position model. The record is from RNAcentral.
AUGAACGCUGGCGGCGUGCCUAAUACCUGCAAGUCGAGCGAACGGACGAGAAGCUUGCUUCUCUGAUGUUAGCGGCGGACGGGUGAGUAACACGUGGAUAACCUACCUAUAAGACUGGGAUAACUUCGGGAAACCGGAGCUAAUACCGGAUAAUAUUUUGAACCGCAUGGUUCAAAAGUGAAAGACGGUCUUGCUGUCACUUAUAGAUGGAUCCGCGCUGCAUUAGCUAGUUGGUAAGGUAACGGCUUACCAAGGCAACGAUGCAUAGCCGACCUGAGAGGGUGAUCGGCCACACUGGAACUGAGACACGGUCCAGACUCCUACGGGAGGCAGCAGUAGGGAAUCUUCCGCAAUGGGCGAAAGCCUGACGGAGCAACGCCGCGUGAGUGAUGAAGGUCUUCGGAUCGUAAAACUCUGUUAGUAGGGAAGAACAUAUGUGUAAGUAACUGUGCACAUCUUGACGGUACCUAAUCAGAAAGCCACGGCUAACUACGUG